UACGAAGGGGGCUAGCGUUGUUCGGAAUCACUGGGCGUAAAGGGCGCGUAGGCGGCCUGAUAAGUCGGGGGUGAAAGCCUGUGGCUCAACCACAGAAUUGCCUUCGAUACUGUCGGGCUUGAGACCGGAAGAGGUGAGUGGAAUUCCGAGUGUAGAGGUGAAAUUCGUAGAUAUUCGGAGGAACACCAGUGGCGAAGGCGGCUCACUGGUCCAUUACUGACGCUGAGGUGCGAAAGCGUGGGGAGCAAACAGG
Molecule: ribosomal RNA, 253 nt
Filed under: uncultured bacterium
Lineage: Bacteria
Description: partial 16S ribosomal RNA
Rfam family: Bacterial small subunit ribosomal RNA
Source: RNAcentral